RNAcentral lists this ribosomal RNA (504 nucleotides) under uncultured bacterium. RNAcentral's name for it is "partial 16S ribosomal RNA". It matches the Rfam family "Bacterial small subunit ribosomal RNA", at positions 28 to 506 of the family's 1533-position model. The record is from RNAcentral.
GACGAACGCUGGCGGCGUGCCUAAUACAUGCAAGUAGAACGCACAGUUUAUACCGUAGCUUGCUACACCAUACACUGUGAGUUGCGAACGGGUGAGUAACGCGUAGGUAACCUGCCUGGUAGCGGGGGAUAACUAUUGGAAACGAUAGCUAAUACCGCAUAAUAUUAAUUAUUGCAUGAUAAUUGAUUGAACGAUGCAAUUGCAUCCCUACCAGAUGGACCUGCGUUGUAUUAGCUAGUAGGUGAGGUAACGGCUCACCUAGGCGACGAUACAUAGCCGACCUGAGAGGGUGAUCGGCCACACUGGGACUGAGACACGGCCCAGACUCCUACGGGAGGCAGCAGUAGGGAAUCUUCGGCAAUGGACGAAAGUCUGACCGAGCAACGCCGCGUGAGUGAAGAAGGUUUUCGGAUCGUAAAGCUCUGUUGUAAGAGAAGAACGGGUGUGAGAGUGGAAAGUUCACACUGUGACGGUAUCUUACCAGAAGAGGACGGCUAACUACGU